GGGAGAGCCAUACCUGACAAAGACGCUAGCGAAUUGGUUCCUCACUCAAAGUAGGGGAAAGCGUUAUUAAGAAACCAAAAUUUGACAGGUUACGCAUCCUGCAUCCUCGACGAUAAUAUCCCCCAGGUUUGCUGAGGUGGACUAGAUCAUCCUCAAGUGUCGACGGUCAGUCGUCAGGAUCCGUG
RNAcentral lists this unclassified non-coding RNA (185 nucleotides) under synthetic construct. Its description in RNAcentral is "RNA inhibitor of ERK1/2, family II". The record is from RNAcentral.